RNAcentral lists this ribosomal RNA (253 nucleotides) under uncultured bacterium. RNAcentral describes it as "partial 16S ribosomal RNA". It matches the Rfam family "Bacterial small subunit ribosomal RNA", at positions 524 to 776 of the family's 1533-position model. The record is from RNAcentral.
GACGUAGGUGGCGAACGUUAUCCGGAAUUAUUGGGCGUAAAGGGUGCGUAGAUGGCAUAACAAGUUAUUAGUGGGAAAUCGGGGCUCAACCUCGUGGAAGCUAUUAAUACUGUUUUGCUUGAGUACAGGAGAGGUUAACGGAACUCUUUGUGUAGGGGUAAAAUGCGUAGAGAUCCGGAGGAACACCAGUGGCGAAAGCGGCCACCUGGACUGUACCUGACGCUGAAACGCGAAAGCUAGGGGAGCGAACGGG